Molecule: ribosomal RNA, 468 nt
Filed under: uncultured bacterium
Lineage: Bacteria
Description: partial 16S ribosomal RNA
Rfam family: Bacterial small subunit ribosomal RNA
Source: RNAcentral
GACGAACGCUGGCGGCGUGCUUAACACAUGCAAGUCGAACGGAAAGGCCCUGCUUUUGUGGGGUGCUCGAGUGGCGAACGGGUGAGUAACACGUGAGUAACCUGCCCUUGUCUUUGGGAUAACUUCAGGAAACUGGGGCUCAUACCGGAUAUGAGCUCCUGCUGCAUGGUGGGGGUUGGAAAGUUUCGGCGGUUGGGGAUGGACUCGCGGCUUAUCAGCUUGUUGGUGGGGUAGUGGCUUACCAAGGCUUUGACGGGUAGCCGGCCUGAGAGGGUGACCGGCCACAAUGGGACUGAGAUACGGCCCAGACUCCUACGGGAGGCAGCAGUGGGGAAUAUGGCACAAUGGGCGGAAGCCUGAUGCAGCAACGCCGCGUGCGGGAUGACGGCCUUCGGGUUGUAAACCGCUUUCGCCUGUGACGAAGCGUGAGUGACGGUAAUGGGUAAAGAAGCACCGGCUAACUACGUG